Small nucleolar RNA from Cavia porcellus (domestic guinea pig), 137 nucleotides. NCBI's taxonomy places the organism in Eukaryota, Metazoa, Chordata, Mammalia, Rodentia, Caviidae. The record is from Ensembl.
CUGACCCUGAGUCAAGGCUAGCAGCUUCCUGAUGCUGUUGGUUUCAAGCAGGAGCCUAAAGAGAUGUCUUUCUAUGGUCUGUUGGCCAUUUCAGAACUUGGGCAGUGAAAUGAUCAAUUCAUUAGAAAGAAAGAGCU